CGUCCCGUCUCGCCCGUCCCGCUCGCCGUCUUCUCUCCCCUUCCCAGCCGCUCGCCCGCCUCCCUGCCCCGCCGGCCGCCGCCGUCACUCGCCCAGGCACCCGCCCGCACUCGCGCCGCCGUCGUCGCCCCCUCUCCUCUUCCUCCCGCCCGUGCCUCACCGCGGCUUCCUCCCGGCUCCUCGUCCGCGGCCUCGACGGCGCCCUCCUCUUCCCUACCUCGAGGGCACGGAGAUGCUGACGGAGAAGCCCGGCUGGGUUCGCCAUGACGGCCUGCAGAUCUUCUCCAUCAACAUCCAGCCGAGCGGCCUCCGCUUCGCCACGGGAGGUGGUGACCAGAAGGAGGCAGAGAGGGAGAUGGGGUGGUAAGAAGAGAGGGUGAGGAAGGAGGAAGAGGAGAUCCUCCCGGCACUCAUGGUGGUCGCCCAGAUCCCAGCGGGGAUGGCAGUCCAACAUGCUCUGUGUUGUUCUAAAGGGGAACCAUGCCCAUGCGACGGUACCGAACAAAGUUGUGCACGUGGUCGUGGACACUCUACGCGAAAGAAAUUUGUAUAAAUAUACAAUGCUCUUUUUGAAGACUCCUGGGAUGAUAUUGGAAGGAACUCGAGCGGAAGGCCGCCGGACAUGGAAGAAAUGAGCCCAAGCCCAAUCAAUUGGAUGCUUCAGUGGAUUUGAAUGGGGUUCAUUGUAGGCGAGUGCUUGAAUUGCGGCCUCACAUGCAUCAUUAGCUUCCCUUAUCCCACACAAGUAUUCUUCGUGAGAACUAUGCUUAGAUAGCUGAAUGUAUUAUUGUGAACUACUGAACCUUUGCACUUUUGUUGUAACAUACUGAACAUUUGCACCAUUGCUUUUCAUUGUAUAAAUGUAUGAAAUAAAAAAAAUGUCUCAUACCAGGUUGGAUAUUGCGGGGGCGGGUGGGGUGCGGCAAAGAUUAAUAUGCAUAAAGUGUGAGGUGUACAGAAACCUGCACCUUAUACUCCUGUCUUGCUUUUGCUAACUAUAUGAAAUAGACUGAACCUGAACCUGACUACAAUUGAAUGUCUAAGCUGAAUUGUUGCAUCCGUAGACAUGGAAUUAUGGAUCAAUUUUAGCUCUCAAGAACUGCAUACUUAUGGUCCUAUGCAAUCCCAAUUUAUUCAGGCAAGCAUCCCAAAAGUUCACUAAUGAACAAAGCAACAUCACACAGAAUCUAAGUUUUAGGCCAGGUUACUGUAAUGUAUUUUUAAAGAUGUACAUUAGAGAAAUUGUUCAGCCAACAAUCCAAUUAAAUUUGUGUGCAGCUAUAUAUAUAUUUACUAAUCAAUCUUUUCCCUUCUCUCUAUCUAAUUUUAACAUUGCACAAUGAUUUACUUCUUGUUUGUAGCUUACACUGAAAUCUAAGCUUGUGUGCAUGUAUGUAUUAUGAACCAGCCCUGUCCAUUGCCUUACUGGAUACAUAAGUCUCUCCAUUGCUGUUGUCGGAUGGGUUUAUGUUUGCUGUUGUCGGAUGGGUUUAUAUUUGCUAUUAUUUUCUGUCUUGGUUAGGAACCAUGUGCUAUAAUGCACCAAUGCUGCUUUCGGAUGACGACGACAAUGCCAAACGCACCAUCACCUGAGAUGAUUGGUGGGCAGAAUUAAAGAGGGAUUACCAAGUAAGGAAAUACACCUGAGCAAGCAGUUAGACCCAAGCGGAGUUUUAAAAUCAAAACGGGGCAAUUCUCUACUGUGACAAAGUGAAGAGAAAACUGAUGCAUCAAAUUAAUACAGAAAUUCAGUUCAUAUGAAGCAGAAGAAAGGCAUACAGUACCUUACAUUGACAGUGAUUGUUAGCCCAUUGUGGUACUUCAAAUCUGAUAAAGAAUAUAUUUCAUGACCGAGACAUGACAUUUGGAGAAUCUCAGUUCUAAUAUCUACAUGAAUCAACUUUUAUUUUGUCAUGCUACUGAAUGUUCUGAUAUGGGACUAUCUAUUCUGUGUAUCUCUUAUAAGUAAUAAUGAAAUGAUCUAUAUAUAAAGUUUUCCUAUUUUGAUUAUAUUAUGUUUUCGAUGAUGCAUGGUUCUUGAAUUUGGAGAUUAACAUUUAGGCUUUUGAUAUUUUGAACCUUUUUGCUUUGUACUGAACUUGAUGCAAACCAGUUUGUCUUAUCUGGCACUGCCACUCAGUAUUUUUGGAACAAAUUUUGUCAUGUGCUUGCAAAUUAAUUACCCUAUUGACU
This 2193-nucleotide ribosomal RNA is filed under the name Triticum aestivum (bread wheat). RNAcentral's name for it is "partial small subunit ribosomal RNA". Lineage: Eukaryota; Viridiplantae; Streptophyta; Magnoliopsida; Poales; Poaceae. The record is from RNAcentral.